This 438-nucleotide ribosomal RNA is filed under the name uncultured bacterium. Its description in RNAcentral is "bacterial SSU rRNA". It matches the Rfam family "Bacterial small subunit ribosomal RNA", at positions 958 to 1392 of the family's 1533-position model. The record is from RNAcentral.
AACGCGAAGAACCUUACCAGGGCCUGACAUCCUACUAACGAGGCAGAGAUGCGUUAGGUGCCCUUCGGGGAAAGUAGAGACAGGUGGUGUAUGGUUGUCGUCAGCUCGUGUCGUGAGAUGUUGGGUUAAGUCCCGCAACGAGCGCAACCCCUAUGUUCAGUAGCCAGCAGGUAAGGCUGGGCACUCUGGACAGACUGCCGGGGAUAACCCGGAGGAAGGCGGGGAUGACGUCAAAUCAUCAUGCCCCUUACGGCCUGGGCUACACACGUGCUACAAUGGCGUCAACAAAGGGAAGCAAGAGGGUGACCUUGAGCGAAUCUCAAAAAUAACGUCCCAGUUCGGACUGUAGUCUGCAACCCGACUACACGAAGCUGGAAUCGCUAGUAAUCGCGAAUCAGCAUGUCGCGGUGAAUACGUUCCCGGGUCUUGUACACACCG